This 100-nucleotide non-coding RNA is filed under the name Vibrio variabilis. Its description in RNAcentral is "Guanine sequence". It matches the Rfam family "Purine riboswitch aptamer". Rfam says of the family: Riboswitches are metabolite binding domains within certain messenger RNAs that serve as precision sensors for their corresponding targets. Lineage: Bacteria; Pseudomonadati; Pseudomonadota; Gammaproteobacteria; Vibrionales; Vibrionaceae. The record is from RNAcentral.
UGAUACAGUCCUUCGCAGCUUCGUAUAACCCCAAUGAUAUGGUUUGGGGGUCUCUACCAGCUCCCGUAAAGUGCUGAUUACGAAGAGUUAGGAUGGCAUU